Molecule: unclassified non-coding RNA, 330 nt
Filed under: uncultured Ascomycota
Lineage: Eukaryota; Fungi; Ascomycota
Description: sequence contains ITS1
Rfam family: 5.8S ribosomal RNA (bases 1-105)
Source: RNAcentral
GAAAUGCGAUAAGUAAUGUGAAUUGCAGAAUUCAGUGAAUCAUCGAAUCUUUGAACGCACAUUGCGCCCCUUGGCAUUCCGAGGGGCAUGCCUGUUCGAGCGUCAUUAUAAAAUCUCAAGCGUCUUGCUUGGUGUUGGGUCUUCGUCCCUCCCCCAUGAAAAGGGGGGCUGGACGUGCCUGAAAAUCAGUGGCGGUGCCACGAUGGUCUCAAGCGUAGUAGACUCUCUCUCGCUUUGGAUGGCUUGUCGUAUGGCUCACCAGCCUCAUCAUUAGAUGAACUUCUGAAAAGGUUUGACCUCGGAUCAGGUAGGGAUACCCGCUGAACUUAA